This 79-nucleotide transfer RNA is filed under the name Albidovulum sediminis. RNAcentral describes it as "tRNA-Phe". The stretch from base 11 to 76 matches the Rfam family "tRNA". Rfam says of the family: Transfer RNA (tRNA) molecules are approximately 80 nucleotides in length. Their secondary structure includes four short double-helical elements and three loops (D, anti-codon, and T loops). Lineage: Bacteria; Pseudomonadati; Pseudomonadota; Alphaproteobacteria; Rhodobacterales; Paracoccaceae. The record is from RNAcentral.
GCCAUGAUCUGCCCUGAAAAGCAAAAAUUUCGGAUUGAAAAUCCGCGUGUCGCUGGUUCGAUUCCGGCUCUGGGCACCA